UGUGGCCCGCGCCAUAACGGUCAGCGCUCUCGAAUUUUUAGUCCGUAGAUAGGAAAUCGUAAUCUCGGUACCUACCUUAUAAGAUCUACAACUUAAAAAUAAUACGUUAUACGAUUUAAAUAAAACAAACUUUAGUUUGGGACAUUCAAGUUUAGGUAUUUCGUUUUUAGUUAGAUAAUGACAAUUUAAUUAUUUAAAUACAACAAAUGGUACACCAACAUGAACGGCUCAUUCUAUUAUGAAUUUAUAAAUACGAAUUCCUUCAAACAACAAAUGUGUGUAAUAAUAAUUCACUCCAAUUACACAGUGAUUUAGCAAGUAAUCCUUAUGGGUUGUUUUGGAUUACCUUACAAAGAAUAAUGUUUGAAUAAAAGUUGUCGAAAUAUGUUAGUAAUACUUUUUAUUCUGAAAUCAAGGAGAGUGACAUUUGAUUCCAGGACAGAAGAUAUAUCCAUGGAUUUUGUGAUUGUUUCUUCAUCCAUAGCUAAAACACCAAUGAGCACAGAUGGUUUAAGAUAAAGCUGUUAUUUGUCUGACUGAAAUGGAAGUACUGCACACACGAACUGAAUUGGACGAAUCUUUGACAAUAUAUAUGUACCUCUUCCAAUUUGUAAAUUAUUAUACAUCAAUAAUUUAUACAGCUUUUUUGAAUGGCAAAAAUGUUGAUUAUCCUGCUAAAUAUUUGCUUAUAGUUAUAUUCAAUCUUCGUCGAGAAGAAUGUAGUCCAGAUGGAUCUCUCAUGGAAUUAAGCAUCAAAUUGUUCAUUAUAAUGGUUGGGCAACAAUCAUCAAAGACUGUAUUGUAUUGGUUUUUUAGUUAAAGCCAAAAACUAAAACUGUUUAUAUUUAAGUGUGGGUUGAAAUUGGCUGAGAACACAGGUGUCUUAGAUAAUUUGAAAUCAUCAUCCGGAGAAGAAAAUUUGGACACAGUUGUUAAGAAACCUUGGAUUGAAGAUUACAAUACUUUAGAUUGGUAACCAAGACGACUCUUCCCAGAAUAUUUGGAAAUGGAUAUUGACUUAAACAGAAUAUACUAUAAAAAUUGAAGAUGUGUCUCUAAAACGCAUUAAAAUAUUGGAUGAAUGGAUAAAUAAUAAUGCCAACACACCAGAUUUAACCAAUAGUAAGUACUCCAUAAA
Molecule: long non-coding RNA, 1138 nt
Filed under: Acyrthosiphon pisum (pea aphid)
Lineage: Eukaryota; Metazoa; Arthropoda; Insecta; Hemiptera; Aphididae
Description: uncharacterized LOC107883257, transcript variant X2
Source: RNAcentral